AUUGAACGCUGGCGGCAUGCCUAACACAUGCAAGUCGAACGGUAACAGGCCUUCGGGCGCUGACGAGUGGCGGACGGGUGAGUAAUGCAUAGGAAUUUGCCUUGAAGUGGGGGAUAGCCCGGAGAAAUCCGGAUUAAUACCGCAUAUGCUCUACGGAGCAAAGUGGGCCUCUGAUUUAAGCUCAUGCUUUGAGAUAAGCCUAUGUCGGAUUAGCUAGUUGGUAGGGUAAAGGCCUACCAAGGCGACGAUCCGUAGCUGGUUUGAGAGGAUGAUCAGCCACACUGGGACUGAGACACGGCCCAGACUCCUACGGGAGGCAGCAGUGGGGAAUAUUGGACAAUGGGCGCAAGCCUGAUCCAGCAAUGCCGCGUGUGUGAAGAAGGCCUGCGGGUUGUAAAGCACUUUUAUCGGGAAAGAAAUCCUUGGAG
This 428-nucleotide ribosomal RNA is filed under the name uncultured bacterium. RNAcentral describes it as "bacterial SSU rRNA". It matches the Rfam family "Bacterial small subunit ribosomal RNA", at positions 30 to 459 of the family's 1533-position model. The record is from RNAcentral.